RNAcentral lists this ribosomal RNA (273 nucleotides) under uncultured bacterium. Its description in RNAcentral is "partial 16S ribosomal RNA". It matches the Rfam family "Bacterial small subunit ribosomal RNA", at positions 523 to 796 of the family's 1533-position model. The record is from RNAcentral.
AUACGGAGGGUGCGAGCGUUAUCCGGAUUUAUUAGGUUUAAAGGGUGUGUAGGCGGGAGCCUAAGUCAGUGGUGAAAUCUCACAGCUUAACUGUGAAACUGCCAUUGAAACUGGGUUUCUUGAGUAUAGUUGAGGUAGGCGGGAUGUGUAAUGUAGCGGUGAAAUGCAUAGAUAUUACACAGAACACCGAUUGCGAAGGCAGCUUACUAAGCUAUUACUGACGCUGAUGCACGAAAGCGUGGGUAGCGAACAGGAUUAGAAACCCCAUAGUCC